GUUUCAAUAUAUACAUUACCGACAAAAUUUAAAGUUGCAGUGCAAUUUCUUCUGAGUUUGAAGCCAAUGGCAACUACUCCAUUAAUGGAAGACGUCACAGUGGAUGGAUCCGUUGACUACAAAAGCAGGCCGGCCCACCGAUCAAGCUCCGGCGGAUGGAGAUCAGCAUCAUUCAUCAUAGGUAGGCCAAAGUGAAUUUCUAUCUUUCUUUCUUUCUUUCGACUCAUAAAAUCAACAAUCAAUAAAAAAAAAAAAGUGAAGCGAUUGCUAAAACCAAUUAAUCUCUGUAGCUGUGGAAGUGGCGGAGAGAUUUGCGUACUAUGGGAUAUCUUCCAACCUUAUAUCUUACUUAACGAGUUCUCUUGGCCAGUCCACCGCAAGUGCGGCUGAGAGUGUCAACACUUGGUCGGGCACGGCAACUCUUCUGCCGCUUUUAGGAGGGUUUGUGGCGGAUUCUUUUCUUGGCCGCUACCGCACUAUCUUUUUUGCUUCUCUCAUCUAUAUCUUGGUUAGUAUCAUUCUUCCUUUGAUUAAUUACUCUCUUGUAAGAUGAGAGUUUCCGAUUCUUGAGUCAUUACUUCCAGAUUUACAACUCAUCAUCUGAGAAUUUCCAUUAGAAAUCUGAAUUUUCUGUUUUCCAUUUUUUUUUCACUUUAUUUAUUAUUUUGUAAAAAGAAAUUUAGAAAAAAAAGGGGGUAGGAGCAGGAGAAUAUAAAAAUAUCACGUGUGAUAGCGUGCUCUGAAUCACGUGGUUGUAUUUUCAACGGGGUAAUGAUUUUGGUUUUUGAAAAUCUCUUAAUCCUGAUAUGGUAUAUGCAACAAGAACUACCUUAGGAUUUCAAGCAAGUUGCAAAGAAAUGUUCAUUUCAGCAUUGUAUGAAUUGCCAAUGUUUCAAUAGUGGAAAUGACUUCCAGGGACUUGGCUUGUUGACUCUAUCAGUUGCCCUAACUUCUACUGAUGUUUCUGAAUGUGAGAGCACCAAAAAUGGCACAUCAUGUUCUCCCCCUUUGUUCCAAGUAAUCCUAUUCUUCUUCUCUCUGUAUCUAGUAGCUGUUGGGCAAGGUGGGCACAAGCCUUGUGUUCAGGCUUUUGGAGCUGAUCAAUUUAAUGCACUAGAUCCAAAGGAGAGUGGAGCAAAGAGGUCAUUUUUCAAUUGGUGGUAUUUUAGUUUUUCAGCAGGCAUUAACUUAUCACUUAUAGUCGUAGUUUACAUCCAAGAAAACCUUAAUUGGGUUUUGGGAUUUGGAAUCCCCUGCAUUGUGAUGUUAGCCGCAUUACUUGUUUUUUUGCUUGGAAGUAGAACUUAUAGGUAUAGUAUCAAAGGAAAUGAGCAAAAUCCAUUUAUAAGAAUUGGUAGGGUAAUUGUCAGAGCGGCCCGGAAUUGGCGAAGUGCUCCUUUAGGCUUAGCUGCAGAGGAAGAAACUUACAUGUGCGAUCAAAGUUCUGAGCAAUUCAAGUAAGAGAACACAGGGAUUUUGUUUUGUGGUUCAAAAAGUACUUAGUAACUGAAACUGCUUUACUUCUAUAGAAAAAAAAAAUCUCUAACCUAGCAAUUUUGUCUACCAUGGAAGGUUCCUCAACAAAGCAUUGCUCGCCCCAGAUAGUAUAAUGGAAGGUCAAGAGAAAUGUCGUGUCAGCGACGUCAACGAAACAAAGGCAUUGUUAAGACUUAUUCCAAUAUGGGCUACAAGCUUGGCAUAUGCAAUUGUGUUUUCACAAACAACUACUUUCUUUACAAAGCAAGGAGUUACAAUGGACAGAACAAUUUUCACAGGAUUCAAAAUUCCGGCUGCUUCACUUCAAACCUUUAUUGGCUUUGCCAUUAUUCUCUUCAUUCCUAUAUAUGAUCGUAUUUUUGUCCCUCUAGCUAGAUCUUUAACUGGGAAUCCCUCUGGCAUUACUAUGCUUCAAAGAAUUGGGACUGGAAUGAUUGUAUCUGCUCUUUCUAUGGCAAUUGCAGCUUUAGUAGAGAAGAAAAGACUUAAAGUUGCUGAAGAAUAUGGGAUGGUUGAUGAGCCAAAUGCGACAAUUCCCAUGAGUAUUUGGUGGUUGGUACCUCAGUAUGUAUUAUGUGGUGUUGCUGAUGUGUUCACCAUUGUUGGCCUUCAGGAGUUUUUCUAUGAUCAAGUUCCAGAGGGAUUGAGAAGUGUAGGUCUCUCACUCUACCUUAGUGUGAUAGGUGUAGGAAACUUUCUAAGUAGUUUUCUUGUCUCUGUCAUUGACAAGGCAACAGGUAAAUACGGACAUAGCUGGUUUGCUAACAAUCUUAACAGGGCACAUCUUGAUCAUUUUUAUUGGUUACUUGCUGGACUUACUGUAGUAGGAUUUCUUGCCUACUUGCAUUUUGCUAGAUCAUACAUUUAUAAGAGGGCAAAUGAAAGUUAAAUGUGUUAUUAUACUGCCUCUCCUGCUACUUUGAAUUGUGAUUGGCAGGAUUUGUUAAGAAUUAUGUUGAAAAGACUAGAAUUCUAUGGAUCUUAAUCCAUGUACAUGCAUCAAUCUUUAUAAUCAUACUUGAUCAUUG
This 2525-nucleotide unclassified non-coding RNA is filed under the name Hevea brasiliensis (rubber tree). The record is from RNAcentral. Lineage: Eukaryota; Viridiplantae; Streptophyta; Magnoliopsida; Malpighiales; Euphorbiaceae.